AGUGAACGCUGGCGGUAGGCCUAACACAUGCAAGUCGAACGGCAGCACAGUAAGAGCUUGCUCUUACGGGUGGCGAGUGGCGGACGGGUGAGGAAUACAUCGGAAUCUACUUUUUCGUGGGGGAUAACGUAGGGAAACUUACGCUAAUACCGCAUACGACCUACGGGUGAAAGCAGGGGAUCUUCGGACCUUGCGCGAUUGAAUGAGCCGAUGUCGGAUUAGCUAGUUGGCGGGGUAAAGGCCCACCAAGGCGGCGAUCCGUAGCUGGUCUGAGAGGAUGAUCAGCCACACGAGAACUGAGACACGGACCAGACGCCUACGGGAGGCAGCAGUGGGGAAUAUUGGACAAUGGGGGCAAGCCUGAUCCAGCCAUACCGCGUGGGUGAAGAAGGCCUUCGGGUUGUAAAGCCCUUUUGUUGGGAAAGAAAAGCAGCAGGUUAAUACCCCGCUGUUCUGACGGUACCCAAAGAAUAAGCACCGGCUAACUUCGUG
Molecule: ribosomal RNA, 492 nt
Filed under: uncultured bacterium
Lineage: Bacteria
Description: partial 16S ribosomal RNA
Rfam family: Bacterial small subunit ribosomal RNA
Source: RNAcentral